GAUGAACGCUGGCGGCGUGCUUAACACAUGCAAGUCGAACGAUGAUGCCCAGCUUGCUGGGUGGAUUAGUGGCGAACGGGUGAGUAACACGUGAGUAACCUGCCCUUGACUCUGGGAUAAGCCUGGGAAACUGGGUCUAAUACCGGAUACGACCAUCUGGCGCAUGUCAUGGUGGUGGAAAGCUUUUGUGGUUUUGGAUGGACUCGCGGCCUAUCAGCUUGUUGGUGGGGUAAUGGCCUACCAAGGCGACGACGGGUAGCCGGCCUGAGAGGGUGACCGGCCACACUGGGACUGAGACACGGCCCAGACUCCUACGGGCGGCAGCAGUGGGGAAUAUUGCACAAUGGGCGCAAGCCUGAUGCAGCGACGCCGCGUGAGGGAUGACGGCCUUCGGGUUGUAAACCUCUUUCAGUAGGGAAGAAGCGAAAGUGACGGUACCUGCAGAAGAAGCGCCGGCUAACUACGUG
Molecule: ribosomal RNA, 467 nt
Filed under: uncultured bacterium
Lineage: Bacteria
Description: partial 16S ribosomal RNA
Rfam family: Bacterial small subunit ribosomal RNA
Source: RNAcentral